This 60-nucleotide non-coding RNA is filed under the name unclassified sequences. Its description in RNAcentral is "pemK RNA". It matches the Rfam family "pemK RNA". The record is from RNAcentral.
AUAAUGGUACUCCUGCUUCGGCAGCUCCGGGCGAUCCCCGGAGGGGUGGAACUCCCGUGA